AGGAAAAAGUGCCUCAAGUCAGUCUCAGCUGAUGGCAGAGAGGAAAACUGGGCCAGCCUAAUGCAUUCUGGUUUGCAGCAGUUUAGGACUUUGAGUUAUUUGAAGUGGUAAGAGAAAAAGAAAAUGAAAUUUUCCUAAAUACAUAGCUGGAGACUUUUUCCUUUGUACAGAUGCAGAAGUGGGGAAACGGGAGCCAGAAAGCCAAGCCAUGUGCAGAAGGGCACCAUCUGGUCAACGGAGCUGGGGUUAGAAUCCGGCGUCCUGAAUCUCCCAUGUGGGGAACAGAUCUGCGGAGCCUGUCACAUCACCAUUUUGGAAGUGGGUCACCUAUUUAACUCAUGUUCAGGAAGACAGUGCGAAUAGUGAAGAGAAUGUGAGCUUUAGAGUCAGAAAUAACUGGAUUUGAACCCCAGUGCUGCUACUUACAAGAAUCCUGGUCUUGAGCCAUUCUACUUGCAGUACAGGGGAUAGCUGAAGAGAAAAUCCUGACUCAUAUCCUGCAAUUUAUCAAGCUCAGUGGAAAGAGAUAGCUCACUAACAAGGCGAAAAGCAAAGGAAGAAUCGUCCUGACUGAGAUCACAUGCUUCAUGCCCAUUCCUUAACCCGUCUCUUUGACUAAAGGAAGAAAUACUUUGAUGAGGGUUUAUAACCACGAGGACCACCCCUGUGAUAGAUGAAUGGAGUGAGUAGGGUUAUCUCAACCGCAGAACCAUGGGAAAGAGUGCUUUUUAUACUGGAAAGUUCUGCCACACCACUCAAUGUAAGCAAUCAUAAAGAAUUCAUUGGCCUAUUGCUUUCGGUAACUAUUUUUAGGAAAGUGUUAUGGUAGAGGUCUCUGGAAAGAGAGUGGCUUCCAGAAACCAGGAGGCAUAAUUUGGCAGCAGAAUGGGUACCCGGGGUGUAUUGGCGACUUCUGUUUACAGAAGGCAAUGCUCUCUAGGCUACUUAUGCCCAUGCCUGCCUUCACUUUACUCUUCAGAACAACCCUGUGAGGUAUAUGUUAUUAUUCCUCAUUUAUGAUUAAAAAAGUAAAUUGACCUAGGUCACAAGCUUGGUCACAAUCAAAGUUCAGUUUUGAACCCAGAUCUAUUUCUGAAAACCAUGUGCUUUUCAACAUAUGGUAAUGUUCUAAAUGCAAAAUGUUGGCAUCUUGACAAAGUAAGCAGAGGUUUUCAUUUUGUGUUGCUUUCCCUCUUCCUUUCCUCUAAGAAAAAAGAACAUGUUACCUGUUAGAGAUCAACUUUGGGAAAGUGAUACAUUCUGAGGAUCUAGGAGCUGGGAGGUCGUAAGCAUUGAAAGCAGCAAAAAGGAUGGGAAAGUCCUUUGGUGGUGAGCUUAGGACAGAUUUUCUUUUCUACUUAUAACAUUAAAAGAAUGGAGAUUUGCUGAGAUUUUCCACUUCUAUAUAUAAUCAGCAAAUUUGUUAUUUGUCACAGAUUUUAUAUUAAGUAGUUGGUACGGAAUGUCAGACUGUACUAUUCCCUCACAUAACAACUAUUUAUUGAAUUUUUACUAUAACAUAAGCAUUAAAAAAAGAAACCUAAGGGCAUAAAAUAUCUAAUAAAAUGGUAAAAAUCAAGUUUUAAAGAUUAAAUAAAGGAAAGUACAAAAGGAAAGACUAAAAUUCAGCUAAAUCAACAAAAAUCUCGCAGGCCACCUCAUGUACUUUGAUGGCGUUCACCCUCCCAAAUCUAGAGAAACAAUGUGUUAUGGCCAAGUUUAGCUCUUAUUCUUCCUCCUACAAAAUUACAGUAGACUAUGAACUUGUGGUUUCUGUCCAAGUGAAAACUUCCCACGAUUAUAUUCCUGACAUUUUACUAUAUAAAAAGAAGAGUCUAAUUUCUCUACAGAAAAACAGGAUUUCAAAAUUAAACCUGGGAGAGUGAAGAGUUCAAACUACACAAUCUCUCAGUUAUUUGUAGUGACCUUUAGCAACACUUGGUUGGAGCCACCAAAGAGCAAAAUUCUUCAUUUAUAGUUUUUCAUUUUUAAAAAAAGUAUCUAUGAAUAAAGAUCCAAAAGUCUCAAAGGGAGCUUCAUAGAGUUGUUCAAUCCAGAAUAGAAAUCAUCAGGAUUCACAAAUAUUUGUGCAGAAAAGCCUGCAUAGUUAUUCAACUCCUGGAGGAAUAAUUCCUAAAUCUUAGCAUGGCACACUGGGCGUCUAAGUUCAAGUUCCUACCUACUUUUUACCUUUUAUGUGAGUAAUACUUUCUCACCCUCUCAGGACCUAAAGCCCUUGCUAUUUCUGAAUGUCAUGUUGCUUUUUGCCUCUAUGCCUUUAUUUAUACUUAUCUUUUUGGGCAAAAGUCUUUUUUUACACUUUUAGAACUAGCAAACUCAAAUGCAUUCUUCAAAAUUGAACUCAAACAAAAUUCAGGGUAUUGUUACCAAUGGAAAAAGUUUUAACCCAAGUGCCUGUUCUCCCAAAGUGUUUUUAAAAAUUUGUUUGCAUACCUCUAUUAUAGCUCUUUUAUUACAUUAAUUUAUACCAAAUUAAAUUGCAUUAAAUUAU
RNAcentral lists this long non-coding RNA (2512 nucleotides) under Sus scrofa (pig). RNAcentral describes it as "lncRNA (ENSSSCG00000041277.1, ENSSSCG00110007454.1)". The record is from RNAcentral. Lineage: Eukaryota; Metazoa; Chordata; Mammalia; Artiodactyla; Suidae.